This 653-nucleotide ribosomal RNA is filed under the name Escherichia coli. RNAcentral describes it as "partial 23S ribosomal RNA". It matches the Rfam family "Bacterial large subunit ribosomal RNA", at positions 606 to 1259 of the family's 2925-position model. The record is from RNAcentral. Lineage: Bacteria; Pseudomonadati; Pseudomonadota; Gammaproteobacteria; Enterobacterales; Enterobacteriaceae.
UUUUGUAUAAUGGGUCAGCGACUUAUAUUCUGUAGCAAGGUUAACCGAAUAGGGGAGCCGAAGGGAAACCGAGUCUUAACUGGGCGUUAAGUUGCAGGGUAUAGACCCGAAACCCGGUGAUCUAGCCAUGGGCAGGUUGAAGGUUGGGUAACACUAACUGGAGGACCGAACCGACUAAUGUUGAAAAAUUAGCGGAUGACUUGUGGCUGGGGGUGAAAGGCCAAUCAAACCGGGAGAUAGCUGGUUCUCCCCGAAAGCUAUUUAGGUAGCGCCUCGUGAAUUCAUCUCCGGGGGUAGAGCACUGUUUCGGCAAGGGGGUCAUCCCGACUUACCAACCCGAUGCAAACUGCGAAUACCGGAGAAUGUUAUCACGGGAGACACACGGCGGGUGCUAACGUCCGUCGUGAAGAGGGAAACAACCCAGACCGCCAGCUAAGGUCCCAAAGUCAUGGUUAAGUGGGAAACGAUGUGGGAAGGCCCAGACAGCCAGGAUGUUGGCUUAGAAGCAGCCAUCAUUUAAAGAAAGCGUAAUAGCUCACUGGUCGAGUCGGCCUGCGCGGAAGAUGUAACGGGGCUAAACCAUGCACCGAAGCUGCGGCAGCGACACUGUGUGUUGUUGGGUAGGGGAGCGUUCUGUAAGCCUGUGAAGGUGU